UACGAGAACCCCAAGCGUUAUCCGGAAUCAUUGGGCGUAAAGGGUGUGUAGGUGGUGUGGUUAGUCUUCUGUCAAAAUCUCGGGCUUAACCCGAGUCUUGCAGAGGAAACGGCCACACUCGAGGAUGCGAGAGGUGAAUGGAACUCAUGGAGUAGGGGUAAUAUCCGUUGAUAUCAUGGGGAACACCAAAAGCGAAGGCAAUUCACUGGCGCAUUCCUGACACUGAAACACCGAAAGACGUGG
Molecule: ribosomal RNA, 243 nt
Filed under: uncultured bacterium
Lineage: Bacteria
Description: partial 16S ribosomal RNA
Rfam family: Bacterial small subunit ribosomal RNA
Source: RNAcentral